GGUGGUUCUCGGGAGAUGCACCUGGAAUCGGGCUCCCUCCUCUCUGGUUCUGGGUGCAGCACCUGAGAACUGCA
Molecule: non-coding RNA, 74 nt
Organism: Myotis brandtii (Brandt's bat)
Lineage: Eukaryota; Metazoa; Chordata; Mammalia; Chiroptera; Vespertilionidae
Source: Rfam